UUUCCGUAGGUGAACCUGCGGAAGGAUCAUUAUUGAAUGAACUUGGUGUGGUUGUUGCUGGCCCUCUCGGGGGCAUGUGCACACCCACCAUCCUCAUCUCUCCACCUGUGCACUUCUUGUAGACCUGGAUACACUUUCCGAGGCAACUCGGUCUGGAGGAAUGCUGUGCAAGCUUUCUUUGUAUUUCCUGGCCUACGUUUUUCAUAUACCCCAUAGCAUGUAACAGAAUGUAUCAUUGGGCCUUUGUGCCUAUAAACCUUAUACAACUUUCAGCAACGGAUCUCUUGGCUCUC
RNAcentral lists this unclassified non-coding RNA (293 nucleotides) under plant metagenome. Its description in RNAcentral is "partial contains small subunit ribosomal RNA, internal transcribed spacer 1, and 5.8S ribosomal RNA". The record is from RNAcentral.